AUGGCAGGUGAAGAAAACGAGUAUGAUGUUGAAGGAAAUGGGCAUCUCAAUCAGCUCGUCACACGGUUUCACUUCAACACAUUACGUGAUCAUUUACGUCGAGAGUUCAGAAACAUCCUUGACCCAAUUGAAGAGAAGCAAGAAAAAUUGUCGAGAGAUUUGCAACAACUUAUGGGUAAUGUUGAUGAGAAACUCACUCAGAACAUGCCAGCCAUGAGGACUGGUAUUGUUGCUGAUAUUGUGCGAGAGCUUCGUCAGAACCGAGAAGAUGCAAGUGUCGAUGGUGAAGAACGAAAUGUAACUGAUGGGGAAGGUGCUGCCUCCAAUGCACAAGAUAGAAGAAACAGUGCUCCUGCUCCCCAUGCCAUGAGACCUCCCGGUCCCGGACAUGGAAAUGAUCAUGGUAAUGGACGUGGUCAUCAUGAAGCUGCUGCUAGUCGUGGUCUUAGAGGAGGACACCGAAGAGCAAAUCUGCACCAUGAAGGUAGGGGAGAUGAGUUUGAUGAAGAUGAAGAUGGCAUGCACUAGAAUGACGGAUUUCAUCAUCGUAGAAACUAUGGUCAUGGACGGCAGGAGGAGGAGAGGUUU
This 588-nucleotide ribosomal RNA is filed under the name Triticum aestivum (bread wheat). Its description in RNAcentral is "partial small subunit ribosomal RNA". Lineage: Eukaryota; Viridiplantae; Streptophyta; Magnoliopsida; Poales; Poaceae. The record is from RNAcentral.